RNAcentral lists this long non-coding RNA (569 nucleotides) under Equus caballus (horse). RNAcentral describes it as "lncRNA (ENSECAG00000045062.1)". The record is from RNAcentral. Lineage: Eukaryota; Metazoa; Chordata; Mammalia; Perissodactyla; Equidae.
AAUGCCUCAAGGUCACCUCUUUCUUACCCUUCAGGCUUCAGUUCAAAUGUCCUUUCUUCAGGUGCUCAAUUUGAGGAUUUCCAACAACCACUAGGCUGGAGUCUGAGAAGCUGCCCUACAAAGAACGAUCUCUCAGCUGGGAUAAGAAGAAUGACAGACUGAGCCAGAUGACUUCGGACAGGAGAAGAAGGGGACAGUUGGAGUGCUCCCUGUAACAGAACGGCACAUUCCGGGACCUGGAGGCAGAAAAGAACGUUGUGAUUGGAGGACACGAAGGACUCAGUGUGGCUACCAGGCAGACUGCAAAGUAGGAACUGAGAAAAAUGAGACUGGAGAGCUUCCAGCCCACAACUCUGACAAGACCACUAAUAAGAUGUUUCCUGUUGGGAGUGUCAUCGUACUGGAGUCAGGUUCAUCUGGCACUGGUCGAGGAUGGACACAUCAGGGGCAGGAGUGAGCCCCCACCAUGUUUACUCAGCCUUCCCCAAGUCCUUCCUGCUGGGUUCACCAAGGCGCCCACACUCAGGCUUGGCCCUGCUCCUGCUCCUGCUCCUGAGUAUGUGAAAACC